This 497-nucleotide ribosomal RNA is filed under the name uncultured bacterium. Its description in RNAcentral is "partial 16S ribosomal RNA". It matches the Rfam family "Bacterial small subunit ribosomal RNA", at positions 28 to 507 of the family's 1533-position model. The record is from RNAcentral.
GAGGAAAGUGGGGGGCGUGCCUAAUACAUGCAAGUCGAGCGAACAGACGAGGAGCUUGCUCCUCUGACGUUAGCGGCGGACGGGUGAGUAACACGUGGAUAACCUACCUAUAAGACUGGGAUAACUUCGGGAAACCGGAGCUAAUACCGGAUAACAUGUUGAACCGCAUGGUUCAACAGUGAAAGACGGUCUUGCUGUCACUUAUAGAUGGAUCCGCGCCGCAUUAGCUAGUUGGUAAGGUAACGGCUUACCAAGGCAACGAUGCGUAGCCGACCUGAGAGGGUGAUCGGCCACACUGGAACUGAGACACGGUCCAGACUCCUACGGGAGGCAGCAGUAGGGAAUCUUCCGCAAUGGGCGAAAGCCUGACGGAGCAACGCCGCGUGAGUGAAGAAGGUCUUCGGAUCGUAAAACUCUGUUAUUAGGGAAGAACAAAUGUGUAAGUAACUAUGCACGUCUUGACGGUACCUAAUCAGAAAGCCACGGCUAACUACGUG